AUGCACCCUUACAACCGGCUACCGUCCAGUGGCCACUCCUCGCCGUCUCCUCCCGCCUCGCCUCUCCGUUCACCUCGUCUCCGUCACACCCGCUCAAAAACCGGCCGGUUCUCUCCGUCCCAACCUGCUCCACGAACCUACGCUCAACGCCUCGCUUGGAUUUUCCUCUCGGUUCUCCUCCGUCGUCAAGGCAUUUUCCUCUUUGCGCCUCUUAUAUAUAUCUCCGGUAUGCUUCUCUACUUCGGGACGUUCUCGUUCGAUGUUGUUCCGAUCAUUAAGCACCGUCCGGCUCCUGGUUCUCUCUACCGGAGUCCUCAACUCUAUGCUAAGCUUCGACACGAAAUGGAUGCGGAUAAUUCUUCAGCCGAUGCGGUUCGUUUUUAA
Molecule: non-coding RNA, 384 nt
Organism: Vicia faba (fava bean)
Lineage: Eukaryota; Viridiplantae; Streptophyta; Magnoliopsida; Fabales; Fabaceae
Source: the annotation of a GenBank genome assembly